RNAcentral lists this ribosomal RNA (253 nucleotides) under uncultured bacterium. RNAcentral's name for it is "partial 16S ribosomal RNA". It matches the Rfam family "Bacterial small subunit ribosomal RNA", at positions 524 to 776 of the family's 1533-position model. RNAcentral also lists the same sequence under 2 other names. The record is from RNAcentral.
UACAGAGGGUGCGAGCGUUGUUCGGAAUUAUUGGGCGUAAAGCGCAUGUAGGCGGCCUGUUAAGUCACGUGUGAAAGCCCCAGGCUCAACCUGGGAAGUGCGCGUGAAACUGGCGGGCUUGAAUCCUGGAGAGGGUGGCGGAAUUCCCGGUGUAGAGGUGAAAUUCGUAGAUAUCGGGAGGAACACCAGAGGCGAAGGCGGCCACCUGGACAGAGAUUGACGCUGAGACGCGAAAGCGUGGGGAGCAAACAGG